This 627-nucleotide ribosomal RNA is filed under the name uncultured Russulaceae. RNAcentral's name for it is "LSU rRNA". It matches the Rfam family "Eukaryotic large subunit ribosomal RNA", at positions 47 to 649 of the family's 3401-position model. Lineage: Eukaryota; Fungi; Basidiomycota; Agaricomycetes; Russulales; Russulaceae. The record is from RNAcentral.
UAAGCGGAGGAAAAGAAACUAACAAGGAUUCCCCUAGUAACUGCGAGUGAAGCGGGAAAAGCUCAAAUUUAAAAUCUGGCGGUCUUUGGCCGUNCGAGUUGUAAUUUAGAGAAGCGUCUUNCGCGCUGGACCGUGCACAAGUCUCCUGGAAUGGAGCGUCAUAGAGGGUGAGAAUCCCGUCUUUGGCACGGAUGCCUGGUGCUUCUGUGAUGCGCUCUCGAAGAGUCGAGUUGUUUGGGAAUGCAGCUCAAAAUGGGUGGUGAACUCCAUCUAAAGCUAAAUAUUGGCGAGAGACCGAUAGCGAACAAGUACCGUGAGGGAAAGAUGAAAAGCACUUUGGAAAGAGAGUGAAACAGUACGUGAAAUUGUUGAAAGGGAAACGCUUGAAGUCAGUCGCGUCGACCGAGACUCAGCCUUGCCUUGGCUUGGUGUACUUCUCGGCCCGACGGGUCAGCAUCAAUUUUGCCCCUCGGAUAAUGGCAAGGGAAAGGUGGCACCUUUACGGGUGUGUUAUAGUCUCCUGUCGAAUGCGAGGGGUGGGAUUGAGGAACUCAGCGCGCACCUCAGUGUCGGGGCUUCGGCCCACGUCACGCGCUUAGGAUGCUGGCGUAAUGGCUUUAAACGACC